UUAUGAUCAUAGCUACAGUCAGCAGACAACAAGCUAUGGACAAAACAUUCCUAGUCAGACUCCAUCACAAGAACAGCAGAAAGCAUAUGCAACUCCAAGUUAUGGGUCAGCUACUGUGUCAUCUCAACCAGAUGGUGCAAUUUCCUCCCAAUCAAGUCAAGUAGCACCUGCAUAUCCGCCGAGUGCGUAUACUCAACCAGUGGCCAACCCUCAAACGUACUGGACUUCUUCAAGCUUCACUGGCCAACAACCACCUCAGCCAGGAUAUGAUCAAACGGGGUACUCCCAAACUGCUUAUGGAGGGCUGCAACCAGGCCUAGUCCCUCCCCAGUCAAGUCUUUAUGGACAAGGUGGAUAUCCCCUUCAGCCAUCUCCUGCAGCAGCAAAUUAUGUUCAGGGGACACAUCCUCACGCUUAUGGACAGCCACAGCUGGAGACACAACUCCAGUCACAGCCAUCAAACAAUGGUCAUU
This 473-nucleotide unclassified non-coding RNA is filed under the name Hevea brasiliensis (rubber tree). The record is from RNAcentral. Lineage: Eukaryota; Viridiplantae; Streptophyta; Magnoliopsida; Malpighiales; Euphorbiaceae.